Molecule: non-coding RNA, 265 nt
Organism: Nicotiana tabacum (common tobacco)
Lineage: Eukaryota; Viridiplantae; Streptophyta; Magnoliopsida; Solanales; Solanaceae
Source: RefSeq, a predicted model, not a curated record
UUCUAGGGAAGCAAAAGAAGGCCAGCUUCAGCACUGGCAAACACAAGACAAGAGGAGUGCUAGACUACAUCCAUUCAGAUUUAUGGGGUCCCUCUAAACUUCCAUCGAAGGGCAAAAAGAGCAUUUAAAGAGUGGAAGAUUUUGGUUGAAAAUCAAAUGGAGCGGAAAAUCAAGUAUCUUCGCACAGACAAUGGCUUGGAGUUUUGCAAUGAAGAGUUUAAUGAAUUCUGCAAGGUUCAUGGGAUCUCAAGACAUAGGACUGUCA